GAUCAUGGCUCAGGAUGAACGCUAGCGGCAGGCUUAAUACAUGCAAGUCGAGGGGGCAGCAAUGUCACCGGCGAACGGUGCGUAACGCGUAUGCAACCUACCUACAUCGAGGGGGAUAGCCCUAGGAAACUGGGAUUAACACCGCAUAAUAUAUGACAAGGCAUCUUGUUAUAUUGAAAUAUUUAUAGGGAUGUAGAUGGGCAUGCGUCCCAUUAGCUAGAUGGUAAGGUAACGGCUUACCAUGGCAACGAUGGGUAGGGGGCCUGAGAGGGUGGUCCCCCACACUGGUACUGAGACACGGACCAGACUCCUACGGGAGGCAGCAGUGAGGAAUAUUGGUCAAUGGGCGCAAGCCUGAACCAGCCAUGCCGCGUGCAGGAAGACGGUCCUAUGGAUUGUAAACUGCUUUUAUUUGGGAAUAAACCUAUUUACGUGUAGAUAGCUGAAGGUACCAAAUGAAUAAGCACCGGCUAACUCCGUG
RNAcentral lists this ribosomal RNA (481 nucleotides) under uncultured bacterium. RNAcentral describes it as "bacterial SSU rRNA". It matches the Rfam family "Bacterial small subunit ribosomal RNA", at positions 15 to 507 of the family's 1533-position model. The record is from RNAcentral.